RNAcentral lists this ribosomal RNA (274 nucleotides) under uncultured bacterium. Its description in RNAcentral is "partial 16S ribosomal RNA". It matches the Rfam family "Archaeal small subunit ribosomal RNA", at positions 473 to 747 of the family's 1478-position model. The record is from RNAcentral.
AAACCAGCACCUCAAGUGGUCAGGAGGAUUAUUGGGCCUAAAGCAUCCGUAGCCUGUUCUGUAAGUUUUCGGUUAAAUCUGUACGCUCAACGUACGGGCUGCUGGGAAUACUGCAGGGCUAGGGAGUGGGAGAGAUAGACGGUACUCGGGAGGAAGUGGUAAAAUGCUUUGAUCUCUCGAUGACCACCUGUGGCGAAGGCGGUCUAUCAGAACACGUCCGACGGUGAGGGAUGAAAGCUGGGGGAGCAAACCGGAUUAGAAACCCGAGUAGUCC